This 254-nucleotide ribosomal RNA is filed under the name uncultured bacterium. RNAcentral's name for it is "partial 16S ribosomal RNA". It matches the Rfam family "Bacterial small subunit ribosomal RNA", at positions 524 to 776 of the family's 1533-position model. The record is from RNAcentral.
UACAGAGGUCUCAAGCGUUGUUCGGAUUCAUUGGGCGUAAAGGGUGCGUAGGUGGCGCCGUAAGUCGGGUGUGAAAUUUCGGAGCUUAACUCCGAAACUGCAUUCGAUACUGCGGUGCUUUGAGGACUGGAGAGGAGACUGGAAUUCAUGGUGUAGCAGUGAAAUGCGUAGAGAUCAUGAGGAAGACCAGUGGCGAAGGCGGGUCUCUGGACAGUUCCUGACACUGAGGCACGAAGGCCAGGGGAGCAAACGGG